RNAcentral lists this ribosomal RNA (160 nucleotides) under uncultured Lactobacillus sp. RNAcentral describes it as "partial 16S ribosomal RNA". It matches the Rfam family "Bacterial small subunit ribosomal RNA", at positions 355 to 507 of the family's 1533-position model. The record is from RNAcentral. Lineage: Bacteria; Bacillati; Bacillota; Bacilli; Lactobacillales; Lactobacillaceae.
UAGGGAAUCUUCCACAAUGGACGCAAGUCUGAUGGAGCAACGCCGCGUGAGUGAAGAAGGGUUUCGGCUCGUAAAGCUCUGUUGGUAGUGAAGAGAGAUAGAGGUAGUAACUGGCCUCUAUUUGACGGUAAUCAACCAGAAAGUCACGGCUAACUACGUG